This 468-nucleotide ribosomal RNA is filed under the name uncultured bacterium. Its description in RNAcentral is "partial 16S ribosomal RNA". It matches the Rfam family "Bacterial small subunit ribosomal RNA", at positions 28 to 507 of the family's 1533-position model. The record is from RNAcentral.
GACGAACGCUGGCGGCGUGCUUAACACAUGCAAGUCGAACGGAAAGGCCCUGCUUUUGUGGGGUGCUCGAGUGGCGAACGGGUGAGUAACACGUGAGUAACCUUCCCUUGACUUUGGGAUAACUUCAGGAAACUGGGGCUAAUACCGGAUCGGAGCUCCUGCUGCAUGGUGGGGGUUGGAAAGUUUCGGCGGUUGGGGAUGGACUCGCGGCUUAUCAGCUUGUUGGUGGGGUAGUGGCUUACCAAGGCUUUGACGGGUAGCCGGCCUGAGAGGGUGACCGGCCACAUUGGGACUGAGAGACGGCCCAGACUCCUACGGGAGGCAGCAGUGGGGAAUAUUGCACAAUGGGCGGAAGCCUGAUGCAGCAACGCCGCGUGCGGGAUGACGGCCUUCGGGUUGUAAACCGCUUUCGCCUGUGACGAAGCGUGAGUGACGGUAAUGGGUAAAGAAGCACCGGCUAACUACGUG